Boleophthalmus pectinirostris (great blue-spotted mudskipper) is the source of this 3577-nucleotide long non-coding RNA. RefSeq lists it as uncharacterized. The transcript has 4 exons. The record is from RefSeq and is a predicted model, not a curated record. Lineage: Eukaryota; Metazoa; Chordata; Actinopteri; Gobiiformes; Gobiidae.
AAACUUUUUUUUUUUUUUUUUUUUUUCAUUGAAAGCCUUGAAAGAGGAUUAAUCAAUAUAAGAAUUGCGAGUCUGGACUGUCACACAGACACUGGACUGUCACACAGACACUGGACUGUCACACAGACACCUCUGAUGUCCCCUGUAUCCCUGUAUACUAUUCAAUGUGUGUGGUUAUACUUAGAUUUUGCCAAUGAAUCCUCAUUGAAUAUAAGAAAGUCUAUGCUCCUUAAUUUUAACGUUUUAAAGUUAGUGAGCGUAGACCUUUCCUAUAGCUUUGAAUGACAACACACAUUUUUCAUGUUGUUUGGCAACAAACAGUAUAGGUAAGUUUUUUUGUAUAAUUUUACAAUAUUGUAUUGUUGAAGUACAGAACAUUUAUUUGUUUGUUUUCCUCAUAGUGAGAUGGAACUUUAAACUGGUGGCUGUAGAGAGGAGGAGUGGAGGAGGAAGCUUCUAUCCAUGUUUGUCAUACAAAGUACAGGUCCAGGCUGGGUCAGGAGGGAGGCUGAGGUCCUGACGUGGGACUGCUGUGUGACUAACUCACAACAGUGAGAUGGAGAGGAGGAGUGGCGGAGGAGGCUUAUAUCCAUGUAUCUUCUAUCCAGGGACAGAAAUGAAAGGCUUGUGGCUGUAGCCACUGUGAAACGUGUCAGUGAUGUUCAUGCUUUAUCGGUGUGUCCGUCUUGUAAUUCAGCACUCAUAAACUCAGACUGUGUCAGAGUGACCCUGCACCCCAAUUCAGCCUUUAUUCCAAAACUGGUUGACGCCUGUACCUAAGUGUGGACACUUUUCAGCCUCCUUCCCACAUUUCUGCUGAGCAGCAGCAUUCACACAGGUUGUGCCCUGUGCGUGUGGCACAUGGCAUCCUUUACCAACACUGUAAUGCUACACAACACAGUGAACACAAGGCCCUUAUGGGAAACCUGAACAAUUUCCUUAAACACCAAAAUAUUCAGGAGCAGGACCACACCUCAACCUCCCCCUGCUCCUCUCCAGUGAGCCACAGCUCAGCUCAACCACACCUUCAGUUACCCUGAAGCAUUUUCUAUCCAGGCCUAUCCUGACAGCACAGUCUGUCUCUGCUCUCUCGACCCCUUCCCUCUCACCCCGUGUCUCUCGCUCAGCCUGUAGACCUCAUCGUCUACAAAGGAGGGGGGGUCCUGAAUCGUCUGGGCUGACCACCUGAGACAGAGCCCCCGAUCCUGACUCCCCUCCCCGCCAUCACACAUCUGUCCAUCGUCAAUAAAUAUCUUGAUCGUAUUCCAUUGUUGUGGUGUGGUCCUUGCCAGUGAAAUACUACUGUGUGGCUGAAAAUGAAGACUGUCUGUCUGAUAUUAAGACAUGUGCCAAGUUCCGCAACCUAAACGACCGCAACAAGCUGUUAAGAACUUUAGCAGUCAACAGCAUAAGCAAUGUUUACUGUUAUAUGUCGUGUUUGAAUAGCCCUUUAUUUAUUCUGACUAUUCAAUUAUUUCAGUUAUUCCACUUGUAUUUUGUUUAUUAGAAUUUUGGCUGAAGAUAAUAAAUCUAUUUGCAUUUCUACCACCAGAUGCCACCAAAAGAUAUUCAAACUCAAAUAAAUGUAAUAGCUGCAAGAUUUGUAUCAUAGGCCCACUGAUCCUGAAUCAGGAUCCUGAUAUCCUCGUCCACCACCUAAAGAUAAAGAUAAUAAAGAUAAUAAAGUUGUUCUCCUGAGUGCGGGGCAUCUCUCGGGUCUCAAGUUAAAGGACUAAGGUACUGUACUUAGGUAAGGUACAGAUACCCAAAAUGUAUACUUUUACAUUUUAAAGUGGAUACUCUUUUUUUCAAACUGUUGUGAAUGUCUGACCUGCUCAGUGUUAAAGAGUUGAUCGAAAAGGCAAAAAUGCCGGAGUUAAUGGGACAUGGUGAUGAAAAAGAAGAUCUUCAGAAAGAGCUGAAUGAUCUACGGAUUAGACUUAAAGGAAAAGAAGAAGCUAUGCAGCAGAUGAUAACUAAAAAUGACCCUACAACCCAGGCCAAAUAGGUGAGCCCGGACAAAGAGACAAGCUCACAUUUUCUAGUUUGGUCAGGCAGAUUGAAAGCAGACUCAUUAAAAGCUACCAAGAACACUAUCCUGACUGGGUUGCAGAAUGAUAAUAUCAAGAGUGACAUGCAGCCCUAUCUCCUCCAGGCAACUACAUCUGAUCAAGUGUUGUUAGAGAAAGUGAAAAUAGCAUGUGCACAUGAAAAAGAACGACCAGAUGAGAAGAAACGUGCUGUUCCUCAGCGAGCAACUACAGUUAACACAAUUCAGCCUAGUGACACACCAGCCCCUGCCGAGGUGAAGACGGUCCAAAAACAAAGCACUGCUGUUAUGCCACCAGAGCUCCUGUCUGAGAUUAAGGAGAUGUGCUCUGAGAUGGUGCUUUUAAAGGAGUUGAGAGCUGAGGUGUCCCAGAUCAUAGAGACUAUGCACAAGUCUACAGCUGCAGCACCCAUCUGAGGGGGGCCUGAGAACCAUCACCCAGCGCAGACCUUCACGCCACGCCCACCGUACCAGGAGCAACCCUUGCUGUACCGCUGUGAGAUAGUAUUUUGAUCCCAGGGUCAAAAUACUAUAUGGUAUGUUGACCCCAGGGUCACCUCACUGUGGGGUCAAAAUCCUAUACCACACUGGGAGCAUCACCCACCGUGCCAAGUGGAGCCAUCUGCCAGGACCUUCUACUCCCAGCGCACCCAAGCAGCUCUUCAGAUGUAUCACACUUCCUCAGGUUCAGGAACAGCGAGGGGGGGCACCAAAUUCCAGCAGAGCUUUGCCCCUCAGCGGUACCAUAUGUCACGCCCACCACCCAGGUGUUACUCUUGCUUUCACACAGGGGAAGAGUUCUGUCAGCACUGUUUUAGAUGUGGAAGUGGUGAGCAUUUUAGGGCAGGCUGUAAAGCACAGAGGCCAACAAGACAAGCCAGGGGUAGUACUUUAAACUAGCAGGGGUCACUCCAACGGGACAUGGUGUGACCAUAGAGACAGUCAGGUCCCAGUGUUACGGUUGUACUACUAAAAGUGAGAUUCACACCCAGUCAGUGUUAGAGCUCCUGAUUGACUGUUUAGUACAGCCUCCUGUUUUAGGUUUUCCUGACUUCUCACAACCAUUUAUCCUACAUACAGAUGCCUCUAGCCAGGGAUUAGGCGCUGUUUUGUAUCAAAGGCAAAAUGGCAAAAUCCGUGUGGUAGCUUAUGGAUCAAGAACACUCAGCAAGUUUCGUGAUUACUUGUACUAUGCACCCUUCUUUACAGUGUAUAGUGACAAUAACCUGUCGAAGUUUUCACUUUUUCAUUGGUUUAUUUAACAAUAACUGGCAACGUCACAAGGGGGCAGUACAACAAUAAUAACAACAUUGUAAAAUUACUGCAUGACAACAUUGACCUUAUAACAGUCCCACUUAAUUUUACAAUACCAUUUGUAUAAGAUUUUCCCUUUUGAAAAUAAAAUGAAAAAACAUAUUUACGCCUGACUAACAACUAGGCAUAAUAAACACUUAAUAAACUGAACACAGGCCAAUCUCUUCUCUGAGAUGCUCAAACUUUUGCUUAGGCAAGGGUUUUGUUAGAAUA